UAAGGAAUAUUGGUCAAUGGACGCAAGUCUGAACCAGCCAUGCCGCGUGAAGGAUGAAGGCCCUCUGGGUUGCAAACUUCUUUUAUCUGGGAAGAAAUGCCCGUUUUUAAUGGGUUUGACGGUACCAGAGGAAUAAGCACCGGCUAACUCCGUGCCAGCAGCCGCGGUAAUACGGAGGGUGCAAGCGUUAUCCGGAUUCACUGGGUUUAAAGGGUGCGUAGGUGGGUUGGUAAGUCAGUGGUGAAAUCUCCGCGCUUAACAUGGAAACUGCCAUUGAUACUACUGAUCUUGAAUUUUCUGGAGGUAAGCGGAAUAUGUCAUGUAGCGGUGAAAUGCUUAGAUAUGACAUAGAACACCAAUUGCGAAGGCAGCUUGCUACAGGGAUAUUGACACUGAGGCACGAAAGCGUGGGGAUCAAACAGGAUUAGAUACCCUGGUAGUCCACGCCCUAAACGAUGGAUACUCGACAUUUGCGAUACACAGUAAGUGUCUGAGCGAAAA
Molecule: ribosomal RNA, 501 nt
Filed under: uncultured bacterium
Lineage: Bacteria
Description: bacterial SSU rRNA
Rfam family: Bacterial small subunit ribosomal RNA
Source: RNAcentral